AAAGAAUUAGUUAAUAUAAAUAACAUAAAUAUGUCAAAUUUAAAUAAUUAUAGCUUAUAAUAUUCUUUU
Molecule: transfer RNA, 69 nt
Filed under: Cricula trifenestrata
Lineage: Eukaryota; Metazoa; Arthropoda; Insecta; Lepidoptera; Saturniidae
Description: tRNA-Asp
Source: RNAcentral